AGUUACUCCGAAUAGCCAAGGAGGACAUGCCUAUACAUACUUCGAAUAGCUCUAUUUUUUCCUUCUUCGACAAGGAAAAACAGAGCUAUAGCAAAGUCAGAUGAGAUGUACACGUAUAUGCAUGUGGUGUAGGCAAGUCAUCCUUGGCUACCGAAUCAGCUCU
This is a non-coding RNA of Hordeum vulgare subsp. vulgare (domesticated barley), 163 nucleotides long. The record is from Rfam. Lineage: Eukaryota; Viridiplantae; Streptophyta; Magnoliopsida; Poales; Poaceae.